This 116-nucleotide ribosomal RNA is filed under the name Neogale vison (American mink). Lineage: Eukaryota; Metazoa; Chordata; Mammalia; Carnivora; Mustelidae. The record is from RNAcentral.
GUCUACGGCCAUACCACCCUGAACGCGCCCGAUCUCGUCUGAUCUCGGAAGCUAAGCAGGGUCGGGCCUGGUUAGUACUUGGAUGGGAGAAGCUAUUUAAUAAAUAUUUGUCGAUU